CUGUCACAACCGAGAAGGCCUAGCUGGUGUCAAGCUCCACAGGUUCCCGUCGCGGCCCUGGGAACAAGCACGCCGCCAGCGAUGGAUAAAUGCCGUAAGGCGUGUAAACGAUGACGGUUCAAACUGGAGUCCGAACGAGAGCUCCAGGAUAUGCUCAACUCAUUUCCUGAACAACGAACUCAGCAAUAUCGAGAACCACCCUGGUUACUACCCAACGCUGUUCCCAGAAGUGUACCGGAAGAAGUCUGUGGAUCCUGAGGCUCAACUUGGAAGGUUCAGCAGGUGGCAGGAGCGAUCAGCAUGUUCAGGUGCCUCAGCUGCAGGUUCUUCAGGACUACCAUCUACAGGUGGUACCAGCCCAGUGCCUUCUGAGCAUGAUUCAGAUUCCAGUGGAAGCCCACAACGGGGGUUGGAGCUGCUGUGUGAAGCUGUAGAACUUCGAGAGAAGUGUUCAG
This is a long non-coding RNA of Ixodes scapularis (black-legged tick), 455 nucleotides long. RefSeq lists it as uncharacterized. Lineage: Eukaryota; Metazoa; Arthropoda; Arachnida; Ixodida; Ixodidae. The transcript has 3 exons. The record is from RefSeq and is a predicted model, not a curated record.